ACUAAACCCCCAAACUCAUCUCCCUCAUUUUCUCUCUCUCCUCUCGUGUCUUCUGUUCAAGGACCCAAGCCACUGCUUCCUCCUUCCUCUCUUCGUGUCAUCCAAUUUUCAGUGCCACCCAACUACUUCAUGUGAUUCAUCCUUUCACAUUCCAAUUCUUCAGUUAAUUAAGGAGAAAACCUCCAUAAUUCUCUAAAAUCAUUUCACUCUCCCGAGAAACCUCAAACCCCAUCUUGUGCGAAAUUCCAACUCCAUUCGUGUCUUUCUCCUCUAUUCGUCGGCGUCUUAAGUUCACCGGAACCCCGCCGUUUCCUCGCCGGAGAUCUGUGCUGCAGUCCCCCCCCCCUCGCGAUGCUGCUGCUGUGGUUCUUCUUCCCUCGCGUGCUUCGUCCGCUGCUCGGCUUCGCCACCGCACCGGAGCGUUGAUACCGGCGAACGCCUCCUGCCUUCUGCGUUAUCUCGCCGGAGUUCAACUUGUCCUUUUCUGUCUUCUGUACUCGUGGUGGUGGUAGUGCUGCCACAGGGCAGCCCUCUUGUCGUUUUCCUAAAUGUUUCAGGUUGAAGCCGAAAGUUAACCUUUGCAAGUUGAAGCUGAUACAAGCUGGAGUAGUAUUAUAGUUGCUAUCGAAGUGAGGACGCUUGACUUUGUAAUAGUUAGUUGUUUAUAAUCUAUAGUUAUUUCUACAUUUAAGAGUCGCUAGUUUAGUGCUCCUGAUUCUCUAUUGGUUGUUGCUCCGCGAAAGCGUUGAGAUUGUUGAGCUUUGGGAUUUGGAUAUAUUUUAUAAAUUGAAUUUGCAAACAGGUUUAUAUCAUUUUUCGCUUUAGCGUUGUCCUGUUUUCAAAGGAAACUCUGCCGGAUUUUCUGUAGAAAUUUAUGGGAAUAGAGUCUGAGAAUCAGAGCGUAGUUAUAAUAGUUUAAUUUAUUUGAAUAGAGUUGGGAUUGAGUUCCACACUCUCCGAUUUAGUUCGGUGAGUGUGAUGGUAAUAGUCCGGGUUACCUUGACUGGAGUUUCUUUCGCUGUGCUUAAUCCUUUGUAAGCUGGUCGGGAAAUUCGGGCUGUUACAAUAUGUCUUUUAAUGUUCCCAUUAGUGGGGGAUGUUGAACCCUAGUUUUGAUGAUGACAAAGAAACAAAGAUGCAAA
Beta vulgaris subsp. vulgaris (sugar beet) is the source of this 1142-nucleotide long non-coding RNA. RefSeq lists it as uncharacterized. The transcript has 2 exons. The record is from RefSeq and is a predicted model, not a curated record. Lineage: Eukaryota; Viridiplantae; Streptophyta; Magnoliopsida; Caryophyllales; Amaranthaceae.